RNAcentral lists this unclassified non-coding RNA (352 nucleotides) under soil metagenome. RNAcentral describes it as "partial contains 5.8S ribosomal RNA, internal transcribed spacer 2, and large subunit ribosomal RNA". The stretch from base 1 to 120 matches the Rfam family "5.8S ribosomal RNA", at positions 35 to 154 of the family's 154-position model. The record is from RNAcentral.
GAUGAAGAACGUAGCGAAAUGCGAUAAGUAAUGUGAAUUGCAGAAUUCAGUGAAUCAUCGAAUCUUUGAACGCACAUUGCGCCCGCCAGUAUUCUGGCGGGCAUGCCUGUUCGAGCGUCAUUACAACCCUCAGGCCCCCGGGCCUGGCGUUGGGGAUCGGCGCAGCCCCCCGUGGGCACACGCCGUCCCCCAAAUACAGUGGCGGUCCCGCCGCAGCUUCCAUCGCGUAGUAGCUAACACCUCGCGACUGGAGAGCGGCGCGGCCACGCCGUAAAACACCCAACUCUUCUGAAGUUGACCUCGAAUCAGGUAGGAAUACCCGCUGAACUUAAGCAUAUCAAUAAGCGGAGGA